RNAcentral lists this transfer RNA (72 nucleotides) under Stegodyphus mimosarum. It matches the Rfam family "tRNA". Rfam says of the family: Transfer RNA (tRNA) molecules are approximately 80 nucleotides in length. The record is from Rfam by way of RNAcentral. Lineage: Eukaryota; Metazoa; Arthropoda; Arachnida; Araneae; Eresidae.
GCUUCGUGGUGUAGUGGUCAGCACGCUCGACGCGUAACCGAGAGGUCCGUGGUUCGAUUCCCGGCGAGGGCG